Molecule: long non-coding RNA, 239 nt
Filed under: Phoenix dactylifera (date palm)
Lineage: Eukaryota; Viridiplantae; Streptophyta; Magnoliopsida; Arecales; Arecaceae
Description: long non-coding RNA (PDAC_LNC018357)
Source: RNAcentral
GAGACAGUUCAUCUGUUCAAGGCAAGUGGGUUUUAAGUGGGACCUUUGCGAACGCAUCGUGACCCCUCCACUUACCUGGGAGCUUACCUGGUCAACUCGGUUCAUUAGACCGGAUUGGAGGCUUAGGUGCCCUCUUCAAACCAGUUAGGAGCUGUCUAGUGAUUUUAGGUCAAAGACUAGGAUUGAUAUGCUUUUCUCUUUUAUUGCAUGCUUGAUUGAUCGAGUACUAGUGUAUGCAC